Molecule: non-coding RNA, 89 nt
Organism: Blastosporella zonata
Lineage: Eukaryota; Fungi; Basidiomycota; Agaricomycetes; Agaricales; Lyophyllaceae
Source: the annotation of a GenBank genome assembly
GGGCACAUGGUGUAGCUGGUUAUCAUGCCCGCUUAGCAUGUUUAAUUGUUAUCUGUGGGCGGUCCCUGGUUCAAUUCUGGGUGUGUCCA